UACGAAGGGGGCUAGCGUUGUUCGGAUUUACUGGGCGUAAAGCGCACGUAGGCGGGUCGUUAAGUCAGGGGUGAAAUCCCGGAGCUCAACUCCGGAACUGCCUUUGAUACUGGCGACCUUGAGGCUGGAAGAGGUGAGUGGAAUUCCCAGUGUAGAGGUGAAAUUCGUAGAUAUUGGGAAGAACACCGGUGGCGAAGGCGGCUCACUGGCUCGUUUCUGACGCUCAGGCGCGACAGCGUGGGGAUCAAACAGG
RNAcentral lists this ribosomal RNA (253 nucleotides) under uncultured bacterium. RNAcentral describes it as "partial 16S ribosomal RNA". It matches the Rfam family "Bacterial small subunit ribosomal RNA", at positions 524 to 776 of the family's 1533-position model. The record is from RNAcentral.